This 198-nucleotide ribosomal RNA is filed under the name uncultured bacterium. RNAcentral describes it as "partial 16S ribosomal RNA". It matches the Rfam family "Bacterial small subunit ribosomal RNA", at positions 1303 to 1500 of the family's 1533-position model. The record is from RNAcentral.
GGCUGCAACUCGCCUAUAUGAAGUUGGAAUUGCUAGUAAUCGCGGAUCAGCAUGCCGCGGUGAAUACGUUCCCGGGCCUUGUACACACCGCCCGUCACACCAUGAGAGCCGGUAAUACCCGAAGUCAGUAUCCUAACCGCAAGGGGGGAGCUGCCGAAGGUAGGAUUGGCGAUUGGGGUGAAGUCGUAACAAGGUAGC